AAAAAGCUCAUGGUGGUUUCUCAUCUGCACUAUGAACACAUCAAUCAUUCAGAGGGGAAAAAUAAUAGCUCAGUUCCUAUACAGACAAACUCUGUAUUUUCCCAAUUUUUUUGCUUAAAGCCAUUACCACCCUUAGAAUGCCUUUACCGCUUGCUACCCUUCAAAAAAAGCCCUACUUAAUCUUCUGGGGUCAGGGAUCAAAUUGAGCUCUUCCCUACUUGUAGAAGUCCUUGCUGACCUUCCUUCUUGUCUUCAUACAACAAAUACUGAUUAAGCCUGUACUCUAUGUCAGGUCUCGAACCAAGAAUUGAGGGUGCAACAGAGAGGAAAACAACUGAUGCCCUCUGGGUUCCUGUAGUCUCGUAUUGUGUCUUUUGAACUAUUUUUAGCUUAACCACAAAAAUCAUGUGCAUGCUUUCAUCUAAACAUUACAUAAUGAUUACUUACUACGUGCCAGGGUGUGGGGGAUACAGGGUAUAGAGAUGAUGUAACCUUAGGCCUGAGGGAGUUUACUCUGAGUCUAGCACAGGGAAUAGACAAGUAAAGAAUUACAAUGCGAUGAGAUGCAAACGUUUCUGUGUUGAGGAGACCAGAGAUGACUUCACAGUGGCAGCACACAGACAAAGGUCAAGGGCCCUGUACUGUGAUGAGAGAGCAAUGGCAGAGACACAAGGGAGCAAAAGCAGUGCCAGGGAAGUGGCAGAGAGGCCAGCAAUAUGGACAGAGGCCAGAAGAUGAAGAAUCCCUGCCUCUCUUUACCAGGUCCUUUGGCCAGGGCAAUGGAGAGCCACUGAAGAGUAAUAAAUGGAAGAAGACUAGACCAGAUUGCAGGCUAAGGAUACAGCAAGUUAAGAAACUAGUGCAAAACUUAAGAGGACAGUAUAAUUCUGUAAGUAGCUGAUGAGAAGGAAGAGAAAAAUAUUUGGAGAACUGAAUGAUCUGAGGACAGAGUCCACACGAGGGGUGAAGGAGGAAGAUACUGAGCAUGAGAGAUCUGCAUUCCCAUCUAUGCUUUACCUUCCUUGAUGGAUGUCCUUGGAACCACAGUAGAGGGGACGGCCAUCUUGCCAGCGCAACCCAAAAGCCCCUAGUAGCGUGCCAGAAGGAAUUGGAGGUCAACCAAUCACCUAGCGACAGCACGACCUGACGCAAAAAGGCCCACCUGGACCUAAACCCGGAACCCUUGCAGCUUAAAAACCCCACCCCACCACACCUGGGGGCGACUUCCCUGACUCUCCUCCUCUCUCUCUCUCUCUGUCCCCCUGAGUCACGGAACCUCACCCAAGACCUUAGUUCCCAAAUAAAGCCUUUGACUGCUAAAA
This is a long non-coding RNA of Leopardus geoffroyi (Geoffroy's cat), 1322 nucleotides long. RefSeq lists it as uncharacterized. The record is from RefSeq and is a predicted model, not a curated record. Lineage: Eukaryota; Metazoa; Chordata; Mammalia; Carnivora; Felidae. The transcript is spliced from 2 exons.